RNAcentral lists this ribosomal RNA (247 nucleotides) under Didymocyrtis cladoniicola. RNAcentral describes it as "partial 28S ribosomal RNA". It matches the Rfam family "Eukaryotic large subunit ribosomal RNA", at positions 1 to 249 of the family's 3401-position model. Lineage: Eukaryota; Fungi; Ascomycota; Dothideomycetes; Pleosporales; Phaeosphaeriaceae. The record is from RNAcentral.
CUCGGAUCAGGUAGGGAUACCCGCUGAACUUAAGCAUAUCAAUAAGCGGAGGAAAAGAAACCAACAGGGAUUGCCCUAGUAACGGCGAGUGAAGCGGCAACAGCUCAAAUUUGAAAUCUGGCUCUUUCAGAGUCCGAGUUGUAAUUUGCAGAGGGCGCUUUGGCGUUGGCAGCGGUCCAAGUUCUUUGGAACAGGACGUCACAGAGGUGAGAAUCCCGUACGUGGUCGCUAGCCCUUCGCCGUGUAA